RNAcentral lists this ribosomal RNA (253 nucleotides) under uncultured bacterium. RNAcentral describes it as "partial 16S ribosomal RNA". It matches the Rfam family "Bacterial small subunit ribosomal RNA", at positions 524 to 776 of the family's 1533-position model. The record is from RNAcentral.
UACGUAGGGUGCAAGCGUUGUCCGGAAUUAUUGGGCGUAAAGAGCUUGUAGUCGGUUUGUCGCGUCUGCUGUGAAAUUUCGGGGCUCAACCCCGAACUUGCAGUGGGUACGGGCAGACUAGAGUGUGGUAGGGGAGACUGGAAUUCCUGGUGUAGCGGUGAAAUGCGUAGAUAUCGAGAGGAACACCUGCGGCGAAGGCGGGUUGCUGGGCUGACACUGACGCUGAGGCGCGAAAGCCAGGGGAGCGAACGGG